Molecule: ribosomal RNA, 258 nt
Filed under: uncultured bacterium
Lineage: Bacteria
Description: partial 16S ribosomal RNA
Rfam family: Bacterial small subunit ribosomal RNA
Source: RNAcentral
UGGCGGACGGGUGAGUAAUGUCUGGGAAACUGCCUGAUGGAGGGGGAGUAACUACUGGAAACGGUAGCUAAUACCGCAUAACGUCGCAAGACCAAAGAGGGGGACCGUUCGGGCCCCUUGCCAUCGGAUGUGCCCAGAUGGGAUUAGCUAGUAGGUGGGGUAACGGCUCACCUAGGCGACGAUCCCUAGCUGGUCUGAGAGGAUGACCAGCCACACUGGAACUGAGACACGGUCCAGACUCCUACGGGAGGCAGCAUG